RNAcentral lists this ribosomal RNA (497 nucleotides) under uncultured bacterium. RNAcentral describes it as "partial 16S ribosomal RNA". It matches the Rfam family "Bacterial small subunit ribosomal RNA", at positions 28 to 507 of the family's 1533-position model. The record is from RNAcentral.
GAUGAGCGCUGGCGGCGUGCCUAAUACAUGCAAGUCGAGCGAACGGACGAGAAGCUUGCUUCUCUGAUGUUAGCGGCGGACGGGUGAGUAACACGUGGAUAACCUACCUAUAAGACUGGGAUAACUUCGGGAAACCGUAGCUAAUACCGGAUAAUAUUUUGAACCGCAUGGUUCAAAAGUGAAAGACGGUCUUGCUGUCACUUAUAGCUGGAUCCGCGCUGCAUUAGCUAGUUGGUAAGGUAACGGCUUACCAAGGCAACGAUGCAUAGCCGACCUGAGAGGGUGAUCGGCCACACUGGAACUGAGACACGGUCCAGACUCCUACGGGAGGCAGCAGUAGGGAAUCUUCGGCAAUGGGCGAAAGCCUGACGGAGCAACGCCGCGUGAGUGAUGAAGGUCUUCGGAUCGUAAAACUCUGUUAUUAGGGAAGAAAAUAUGUGGAAGUAACUGUGGACAUCUUGACGGUACCUAAUCAGAAAGCCACGGCUAACUACGUG